CGGAUACCAAAAAAACAAACAAAAAAUACAUAAUGUAUUUUGGUAUCAAUUCCUGGAAUAGCUAUACUACAGGAAAAAAUUGAGGAAUCAGUCCAAA
This is a long non-coding RNA of Ipomoea nil (Japanese morning glory), 97 nucleotides long. RefSeq lists it as uncharacterized. NCBI's taxonomy places the organism in Eukaryota, Viridiplantae, Streptophyta, Magnoliopsida, Solanales, Convolvulaceae. The record is from RefSeq and is a predicted model, not a curated record. The transcript has 3 exons.